UUGCUCCCUGAAGUCAGCGGCGGACGGGUGAGUAACACGUGGGCAACCUGCCUGUAAGACUGGGAUAACUCCGGGAAACCGGGGCUAAUACCGGAUAAUUCUUUCCCUCACAUGAGGGAAAGCUGAAAGAUGGUUUCGGCUAUCACUUACAGAUGGGCCCGCGGCGCAUUAGCUAGUUGGUGAGGUAACGGCUCACCAAGGCAACGAUGCGUAGCCGACCUGAGAGGGUGAUCGGCCACACUGGGACUGAGACACGGCCCAGACUCCUACGGGAGGCAGCAGUAGGGAAUCUUCCGCAAUGGACGAAAGUCUGACGGAGCAACGCCGCGUGAGUGAUGAAGGUUUUCGGAUCGUAAAACUCUGUUGUUAGGGAAGAACAAGUACCGGAGUAACUGCCGGUACCUUGACGGUACCUAACCAGAAAGCCACGGCUAACUACGUGCCAGCAGCCGCGGUAAUACGUAGGUGGCAAGCGUUGUCCGGAAUUAUUGGGCGUAAAGCGCGCGCAGGCGGUUCCUUAAGUCUGAUGUGAAAGCCCCCGGCUCAACCGGGGAGGGUCAUUGGAAACUGGGGAACUUGAGUGCAGAAGAGAAGAGUGGAAUUCCACGUGUAGCGGUGAAAUGCGUAGAGAUGUGGAGGAACACCAGUGGCGAAGGCGACUCUUUGGUCUGUAACUGACGCUGAGGCGCGAAAGCGUGGGGAGCAAACAGGAUUAGAUACCCUGGUAGUCCACGCCGUAAACGAUGAGUG
Molecule: ribosomal RNA, 750 nt
Filed under: Cytobacillus firmus
Lineage: Bacteria; Bacillati; Bacillota; Bacilli; Caryophanales; Bacillaceae
Description: bacterial SSU rRNA
Rfam family: Bacterial small subunit ribosomal RNA
Source: RNAcentral